This 157-nucleotide ribosomal RNA is filed under the name Beauveria sp. GN-2004a. Its description in RNAcentral is "5.8S ribosomal RNA". It matches the Rfam family "5.8S ribosomal RNA". Rfam says of the family: 5.8S ribosomal RNA (5.8S rRNA) is a component of the large subunit of the eukaryotic ribosome. It is transcribed by RNA polymerase I as part of the 45S precursor that also contains 18S and 28S rRNA. Functionally, it is thought that 5.8S rRNA may be involved in ribosome translocation. The record is from RNAcentral. Lineage: Eukaryota; Fungi; Ascomycota; Sordariomycetes; Hypocreales; Cordycipitaceae.
AAACAAAUAAAUUAAAACUUUCAACAACGGAUCUCUUGGCUCUGGCAUCGAUGAAGAACGCAGCGAAAUGCGAUAAGUAAUGUGAAUUGCAGAAUCCAGUGAAUCAUCGAAUCUUUGAACGCACAUUGCGCCCGCCAGCAUUCUGGCGGGCAUGCCU